UAGGGAAUCUUGCGCAAUGGGCGAAAGCCUGACGCAGCCAUGCCGCGUGAAUGAUGAAGGUCUUAGGAUUGUAAAAUUCUUUCACCGGGAAGAUAAUGACGGUACCCGGAGAAGAAGCCCCGGCUAACUUCGUGCCAGCAGCCGCGGUAAUACGAAGGGGCUAGCGUUGCUCGGAAUUACUGGGCGUAAAGGGCGCGUAGGCGGAUAUUUAAGUUGGGGGUGAAAGCCCGGGGCUCAACCUCGGAAUAGCCUUCAAUACUGGAUAUCUUGAGUUCGGGAGAGGUGAGUGGAAUGCCGAGUGUAGAGGUGAAAUUCGUAGAUAUUCGGCGGAACACCAGUGGCGAAGGCGACUCACUGGCCCGAUACUGACGUUGAGGCGCGAAAGCGUGGGGAGCAAACAGGAUUAGAUACCCUGGUAGUCCACGCCGUAAACGAUGAGUGCUAGUUGUCGGCAUGCAUGCAUGUCGGUGACGCAGCUAACGCAUUAAGCACUCCGCCUGGGGAGUACGGUCGCAAGGUUAAAACUUAAAUGAAUUGACGGGGUC
Molecule: ribosomal RNA, 545 nt
Filed under: uncultured bacterium
Lineage: Bacteria
Description: partial 16S ribosomal RNA
Rfam family: Bacterial small subunit ribosomal RNA
Source: RNAcentral